This 366-nucleotide unclassified non-coding RNA is filed under the name Hevea brasiliensis (rubber tree). The record is from RNAcentral. Lineage: Eukaryota; Viridiplantae; Streptophyta; Magnoliopsida; Malpighiales; Euphorbiaceae.
GCAACCUAGGAUUAUUAUUAUUUUCCCAAGUAUGUGAGUCCAAUAUUUCUAAUUCAUCAAUCAACAAACAUGUGCAAGAAAAUAAGAAAUUCAUGACAUUUCGCCUGCGCAGAAGACCUCAUCAAAUUCCUUUAGAAUGAAAUUCCGAAACAUUAUGUCCACAUAGACACAUUAGUCUUAUUUAGCAUCAAAGGACAAGGACGCGAUCAUGGAAAGUAGAUUUAAUAUCUUCAGUUAAACUGCUCUUGAAUGCAACUAGUCUAGGCCACCCUAGUAAUAGCAGCAUGCAUGGCAUCAGCAAGAUGAGGAACUGUCCGAGAACUAAGACCUGCCAUGCUAAUUCUCCCAUCAGAUGUCAUGUAAAUG